CUGGAAUUUAUCUGUUUUGAUUUUAUAUGGUUUCCUAGGGUGUAAUUUGAGUAUCAGUAACUAUCUAAAAUGAUAAUUGUGGCUGGUAUAACUAUAGUUGGGAUGAAACUAGUAAAUAAAAUAUGUUAGAUGCUUAAGAAAUACCUGCUCAAUAUUUGCAAAGGUUAGCUACAUGUACUUUUGUCAAGUGUAUAUAAAGAGUAUCAUUCUUAAACUUUCCAUUGAUUCGUAUGGUUGCUUUUGCUCUUCAUUGCAUUGCUUCUUUCAUGUGAUAAUUCUGGUUUUUGUUAUGAUCUAUGUUCAUGUUUUGGAAGCUAACUUUGGGUUGGGUCUUGCAGGCAUGAAAAAUAUUUAACAUAAUACAGAGUAAUAUUUGUUGUCAACUGCAAGAUAAAGAAUGACAAGUGUCCCA
Molecule: long non-coding RNA, 412 nt
Filed under: Panax ginseng (ginseng)
Lineage: Eukaryota; Viridiplantae; Streptophyta; Magnoliopsida; Apiales; Araliaceae
Description: long non-coding RNA (PGIN_LNC006497)
Source: RNAcentral